This 286-nucleotide ribosomal RNA is filed under the name uncultured Methylomirabilota bacterium. RNAcentral's name for it is "uncultured candidate division NC10 bacterium partial 16S ribosomal RNA". It matches the Rfam family "Bacterial small subunit ribosomal RNA", at positions 1060 to 1345 of the family's 1533-position model. Lineage: Bacteria; Methylomirabilota (SeqCode). The record is from RNAcentral.
UCGUGUCGUGAGAUGUUGGGUUAAGUCCCGCAACGAGCGCAACCCUCACCUCUUGUUGCCAUCAGGUCAUGCUGGGCACUCUAGAGGAACUGCCCCGGUCAACGGGGAGGAAGGCGGGGAUGACGUCAAGUCAUCAUGCCCCUUACGUCCUGGGCUACACACGUGCUACAAUGGCCGGUACAAAGGGAUGCCACACCGCGAGGUAGAGCUAAACCCAAAAAGCCGGUCUAAGUUCAGAUUGGAGUCUGCAACUCGACUCCAUGAAGGAGGAAUCGCUAGUAAUCGC